Molecule: long non-coding RNA, 1033 nt
Organism: Eriocheir sinensis (Chinese mitten crab)
Lineage: Eukaryota; Metazoa; Arthropoda; Malacostraca; Decapoda; Varunidae
Exons: 3
Source: RefSeq, a predicted model, not a curated record
UUCUCUAAUUUUUCUUAUUUUUUUGCUUUAUUUCAUUAUUUUUUCACUUUUCUAUAUAAUUUUACUUCUUUUGUUACUGUCUAUCAUUUUGUGUGUGUGUGUAUGUGUGUGUGUGUGUGUGUGUGUGUGUGUGUGUGUGUGUGAGUGUUUGUGUGUGUCUUAUUUCCCUGUUUAUUAUUUUUUUCUGUCUAAUUUUUUUCUUUUCUUUUUGUGUGUUUUUCUUCCUCUUUUUAUCUAGUAUAUGACAUGUUUAUUUACACAUAUUUUCCUUCCUGCAAUAAUUCUCAAAGUUACAAAUAAACAACUCAAGUACGAAACGCCAUAAUUGCAAUUUUUGAGAUGUUCUGUAAGUCAUUUUCACCUCAAAGUAACAUAUAUAACAGUCAGUCUCAUCAAUAACUCACAUACCCGUCAUUUAAGUGUAUCGAUUAUUGCAAUUAUUAGUAAACGUCGAUCGUACUUACAACAAAACGCCCACAUUUUUCAUACCAUUGGCGUCGGAAAUUUUAGCCUGGUAGCUGCGUGGAUCCUCUUUCUUAGGCUGGAAUUACGAGGCACUUUGCAAUAUCACAUGAGCUAUUUUUUAAGGUCAAAGAGGGCAUCAAUCGGGUUCUAAUGGGUGUUUCUUUAGGUUCAUGGUACAGAAGAAGGGUCAGACUACCACCAGGGUCAUAAAACUACCCCAGGAAAAGCCCACAACUCCUACGAAAGUCUUGUCAAAUAGGUGUUUCUUUAGGUUCAUGGUACAGAGGAAGGGUCAGACUACCACCAGGGUCAUAAAACUACCCCAGGAAAAGCCCACAACUCCUACGAAAGUCUUGUCAAAUAGGUGUUUCUUUAGGUUCAUGGUACAGAGGAAGGGUCAGACUACCACCAGGGUCAUAAAACUACCCCAGGAAAAGCCCACAACUCCUACGAAAGUCUUGUCAAAUAGGUGUUUCUUUAGGUUCAUGGUACAGAGGAAGGGUCAGACUACCACCAGGGUCAUAAAACUACCCCAGGAAAAGCCCACAACUCCUACGAAAGCCUUGUC